CCCCAAGAAGGUCGACUUGGAGGUUGUGCCCUUGAGGCGUGGCUUCCGGAGCUAACGCGUUAAGUCGACCGCCUGGGGAGUACGGCCGCAAGGUUAAAACUCAAAUGAAUUGACGGGGGCCCGCACAAGCGGUGGAGCAUGUGGUUUAAUUCGAUGCAACGCGAAGAACCUUACCUGGUCUUGACAUCCACAGAACCUUGUAGAGAUACAAGGGUGCCUUCGGGAACUGUGAGACAGGUGCUGCAUGGCUGUCGUCAGCUCGUGUUGUGAAAUGUUGGGUUAAGUCCCGCAACGAGCGCAACCCUUAUCCUUUGUUGCCAGCGGUCCGGCCGGGAACUCAAAGGAGACUGCCAGUGAUAAACUGGAGGAAGGUGGGGAUGACGUCAAGUCAUCAUGGCCCUUACGACCAGGGCUACACACGUGCUACAAUGGCGCAUACAAAGAGAAGCGACCUCGCGAGAGCAAGCGGACCUCAUAAAGUGCGUCGUAGUCCGGAUUGGAGUCUGCAACUCGACUCCAUGAAGUCGGAAUCGCUAGUAAUCGUGGAUCAGAAUGCCACGGUGAAUACGUUCCCGGGCCUUGUACACACCGCCCGUCACACCAUGGGAGUGGGUUGCAAAAGAAGUAGGUAGCUUAACCUUCGGGAGGGCGCUUACCACUUUGUGAUUCAUGACUGGGGUGAAGUCGUACAGGGAAAACCCGUAAAAGGAGGGCCGCCCCCGGGGGACGGGAACGGGCCGGAGGGGGCCCCCAAGGCGAGGCAAAGGGGGCCGUACAUGGGGGCCU
This 786-nucleotide ribosomal RNA is filed under the name Escherichia coli. RNAcentral's name for it is "bacterial SSU rRNA". It matches the Rfam family "Bacterial small subunit ribosomal RNA", at positions 801 to 1533 of the family's 1533-position model. The record is from RNAcentral. Lineage: Bacteria; Pseudomonadati; Pseudomonadota; Gammaproteobacteria; Enterobacterales; Enterobacteriaceae.